UUUGGAUUUUGGUCAUUUGUAUAGGGACAUUCUACGGGUAAGAGAAGAAAGCCUCAAGUGAGCCUGCGUACAACUCCAGUAAAUACACAGCACAUGCAGCCCCUUCAAAGUGCUGGCAGGCCACUGCACAUGGACACCCCACUCCAAGAGAACAAUCAGGGAAGAAGGAAGUCAAGACUCCAGAAGCAUGACAACAUAUAAAGCCCGAAGUCAAAAGUUGUUGGUCAAUCGCAAUGCAAGAAAUUCAAGAGAACAUUAACAUUCAAUAAAUUUUUUUUAAUGGAAUGACCAUACGGAGAUUACUCAAACUUGACAUGACCCUAACAACUACAGGAAAUGAUCAUGCCAAUACAAUCCUUGAAAGUGUCAUUGAAUCUACAUUUCCCAUCUAUGAGUUACACCAGUUUUUAGGCAAAUCACUUGAACCAGAAAUCUAAAAGUUAUUUGCAAUUUCUGUGUGCUUUACUGCUUAUCAAGUAAGCCUCUUAAGAUUUUUGAUAUAAAUCCCCACCUCUAACCCCAUUUCUGCUGCCAUAGGACAUAUCAGAAAUAGAGACUGAAAAUGAUAAGAAACCAAAUACAGUAAGUAUUUAAUUAACAAAAAAAAUUAAUUUUACUUACGUUUGUUUGUGUGCAUAUGAUAGCAUAUAUAUUUUGCUUGAGAUAUUUGAAACUGUUUAGUUAUUUCACAUGCCUAUUUUUGCUAAUAUGUACUUAAAUUUGAAAUUCCAUACUGAGCACAGUGGUACAUAAUUAUGUAAAUAGCCCAAUCACUCAUAUUCUCCCUUUCCACUAGAAUUGCUUUACAUGCUUUUGAUACCUUUUCUUUUGUAAAUGGUUGAAUCUUUUCUAUCUUGUUUAACUCUGACUUUCUGCUCAUUAACUUUAAUAGUUUUUUCUAGUUCCAAUGUUGUAGAAUUUGUGGAUAUUUACUAUUUUAUUCUCACUCCCCAAAAUGCAGUGUCUCAUUACAAACAUUUCACAACUUUACAUAUAUAUAUAUACACACACAUACAUAUGUAUAUAUUCUUAUUGUCUUCUUUGAGUACAUAAGAAGUCAUUCUUCUUAUAAAAUCAAUAUUAUAGAUCAAGUUACUUUUAAAUGAUUGAUUUGAUAGUAUAAAAAUGUAAUUAAAUGUCAUAUUGACAAAUUGUUGACCAGUCUUCCAGUGACGAUAUAAUAUAGUUUAGUAAUGGAUAAUUUACAAAAUGUUGCUGGAGCUUUCUAGGUUGCAGAAAGCUGCAGGAGUACAUCGUUCUUAUCCUGACAACAAAGAAAAAAUAUACAAAUAUCUACAAAACCCUAACUUUUCUGAAACUCAUCAGAGACAUGGGUAUUCAAGCCGAUGUGUUGAACUAAAGGCCAAAGGGAGACACAUCCCUUAAAAGGGCCUAUGAACCAUUUCAUCUUGAGCAGAACACAAGAGAAAUAAAGAAGCUGCCCUACUAGUUGGUAAGACAAAACAACUGAAAUUUCAACAUUUUCUUUUCUUUUAUUAUUUUAUUAUUAUUAUACUUUAAGUUUUAGGGUACAUGUGAACAACGUGCAGGUUUGUUACAUAUUUAUACAUGUGCCAUUUUGGUGUGCUGCACCCAUUAACUCGUCAUUUAGCAUUAGGUAUAUCUCCUAAUGCUAUCCCUCCCCCCUCGCCCCACCCCACAACAGUCCCCGGAGUAUGAUGUUCCUCUUCCUGUGUCCAUGUGUUCUCGUUGUUCAGUUCCCACCUAUAAGUGAGAAUAUGCAGUGUUUGGUUUUUUGUCCUUGUGAUAGUUUACUAAGAAUGAUG
Molecule: long non-coding RNA, 1787 nt
Filed under: Homo sapiens (human)
Lineage: Eukaryota; Metazoa; Chordata; Mammalia; Primates; Hominidae
Description: HSALNT0087437
Source: RNAcentral